Long non-coding RNA from Fukomys damarensis (Damara mole-rat), 2074 nucleotides. The record is from Ensembl. NCBI's taxonomy places the organism in Eukaryota, Metazoa, Chordata, Mammalia, Rodentia, Bathyergidae.
GAGCAUAUGUCCAGCACCCCUGUCCCUCCCUGAUCUUAAGAAGCCAUGCUGUGUAAAGGAGACUUCAGAGCAUCCAAUCAUGAGGCAACUUUAACAGCCAAUCAGCAGCCUAAAUAUCCGCCAAUCAGGGAAGAGGGUCAAAGCACAGCCUUUCUGUCCGCGGAUGUCAGCAUUUCCGCGAAAGCUCCACCAAUAGAAAAAGUCAUUGCUGUAUGCAAAUGAGGGAUUAUGAUGCAGAGCUUUGGAACCAAGCGAAGGAUCCAAAUGGAGCUCCAUUUUAUCCAACUGGAAGAGCAGCUUAAUGGUAAACUCCACUUCGUCCAGUUCUCUUUUCAUCCAUCCAAUUAUGAGGCAACUUUAAGAGCCCAUCAGCAGCCUAAACAUCCGCCGAACAGGGCCGAAGCACAGCCUUUGGGUGUGUGGGGGCUACGUUAACACUUCCACAAAAGCUCCAGCAAUAGAAAAAGUCACUGGUGUAUGCAAAUGAGGGACGUAUGACGCAUAUACACAGCGUGAAACGUUGGGUAUAACAGCGGAAGUGUGGGGGGAUUUGGAGCGCAGAGCUGUUCGCUUGGUCCUUGGGGUAGUGAGGAUUUUGCUUUCAGCGACUGCAUCUACUGAGCUCCAGGAGAAAGGUCAGAGAAUCAGCCUAAGACUUCGGAGUAGGGUGAGUGUUGGCUUCUACCUGAUUGAGGUACCAUCAGCUGUGCCGUUGGAAGUGGAUUGUUGGGUGUGCUGCUAGUGUUUGGAGGGCAACUUCCGCUCUUACCUUAGUCACAGAAACGGUCUUUAAACACUGUGUGGAUAUAUGAUGGUCAAGCAGCUAAAAUCAGAGACCUGCAGACUUGCCUUAGCAUACUUCAUCAGGGAUUUCCUGCAAAACAGUGACUAGUUUUGUCACCUUUAUUUGUGCGAUACAACCUACUUAUCCAUAUAUACUUGUGCUCGUAUGUAUGCAUGUUUGUAUAUGCAUGAGUACACGCACAACAUUUUUCUCUCUUUUCUGCGUAAAAUCCUGAAAGUUUUUAUCUCUCCGUAACCGACAUCAUAAUACCAACCAACUUUAUUUAUCUCAUUCAGAUAGGGAGCCGUGGCUUAUAUUUGAUCUCAUUUAGUCGUCAUUAUAAUGAGGUGAAAUAUAGAUAGGACAGUUAUCACUGGCACUGGAGGGUCUAGGAAACUAAAAGUCAGUGCUGUUGAAUUGCCUUUCAAAGAAAAUGCCAGGCCUGCCACCCACAGUCCUUGCCCUUUGGCUCUGCGGCCCAGCAGGGUUUGGGGAAUGCGUGGUCAGAAGGUGAAACCUCCUUCUGGGUCAACUUAAGUGAAGUGAAGCUAGAAGAACGAAUUUCUUGUUUGCAGUGUAACUUCCUCUUCCUUCUAAUGUAGGUUUUGGUUUCCUUCAAACGUAUUAUGUGCAAUAGAAAACACAAUUUUCUACUGUUUGUUUUUUCUCUCUCUCCCCUUUCUGCAAGCCAUUGCCUAAGCAAAUCGUAGCAGAUGAAAGAAAGGACGUACUGCCCCUGCCAAAAGGGCUAUUUCCAUGGGGGUCACCGAAUACUAACUACAUCAUGGCCUGGCUCUGUCCAGUGAAAGAAGCCUCAUGUUAUCUGUGGCCUGGACAGGCAGCAUGGGAGCAGCUCCAGAGUUCAAAGCUAGGACUGGGGUCUUCUCACCUGCGUGGCCUUAAGAAGUUGCUUUAGUCCUUGGUGUGGGUCAAAGAGAACUAGCACUAGGAUGGUUCUGACAUUGUGUCUUCCAGUGACCAGUGUGGUUUAUUUCUAGGUUUCUAUUUUAUGUUGGCCCUGCAGCUGACUCUCAAAACUUGUGUUUUUGCAGCACGUUAUCCCAGGGAGGAGUGUGUCAGGCUUUGAUCCUGGUGCCAUUACUGUGUGACCUCAGGAAGCCUUUUAAGGGCUCUUUUCCUUACCCUGGGGUGUGGUCAGAAGAUUGAGAUGUUGGUUGCAAUGUGAGGCGCGUGGUGAAAGCAGAAUUGCCGUUAGGUAAAAACAUAAAGGUAAACCUUUAAGAUAUUACCUUGUAUACAAUUUGUCUUUACUGGGGGGGUGGGUAAGGU